AUAGACCUAAUAAAGAGAUGAGACGGGAAGAGAUAAAGUAGAAACAUGAGUGAAAAUUUUGUUUCCGAGCUAGCAGAAAGGAAAAUCAACGCAGUUACCAGUAUAGCUCUUCAUAAAAUUUCAUUUUGUUCCGCUUCAUUCUCAAUUUCAUUAUGCUCGCCUAGGACAUUAAGGCUGAUAAUGCAUGGCCUCACGUUAGACUCUACAGCCAAGGAUAUUUUUCGUUUACAUGCAUUUUCAGGUUACUUCUGUAAUACUUUCAUUUCAAUUCUAUGCUUUUUUACUGCUCUACAAAUAUAUGCUACGCAACACGUCUCCUCUUUAGUUUUAAAUAGAGUUAUACAAAUUUUGAUCUGAUGUGAAUAAAUUAUUUGUUUUUCUAUUUUAUUCUAUUCAUUCGUAUUGGAUUGGAAUACGUCAGCUUUUUUCUCCUGUCUUAAAAUAUCAUAUAUCUGUGCCUUCUAUGAAUAUACCAAAAAUAAAUAUGAAUUAACUUUUCAAAGGCUGCCUUGGUAUAGUUUACCCAUAGAAACUCGGACGGAAAGUCUGCAGGACAAAUGAAAUUGUGAGUAAAAUUUCAUAUUUUGAAAGAUCAUAUAGUUAAAAAUGUUCUCUAUGUAGAGCGAUCGUAAAACCUAGCCCCUCGCUUAAUUUUUUAAACAGUGUAUUAAAUACCUAAAGCUGUAAUUUCUAGUUAAAAAAUAAAAAUGUUUUCUAGAA
Molecule: long non-coding RNA, 720 nt
Organism: Drosophila mojavensis
Lineage: Eukaryota; Metazoa; Arthropoda; Insecta; Diptera; Drosophilidae
Exons: 2
Source: RefSeq, a predicted model, not a curated record